GAUGAACGCUGGCGGCGUGCCUAAUACAUGCAAGUCGAGCGAACAGACGAGGAGCUUGCUCCUCUGACGUUAGCGGCGGACGGGUGAGUAACACGUGGAUAACCUACCUAUAAGACUGGGAUAACUUCGGGAAACCGGAGCUAAUACCGGAUAAUAUAUUGAACCGCAUGGUUCAAUAGUGAAAGACGGUUUUGCUGUCACUUAUAGAUGGAUCCGCGCCGCAUUAGCUAGUUGGUAAGGUAACGGCUUACCAAGGCGACGAUGCGUAGCCGACCUGAGAGGGUGAUCGGCCACACUGGAACUGAGACACGGUCCAGACUCCUACGGGAGGCAGCAGUAGGGAAUCUGCCGCAAUGGGCGAAAGCCUGACGGAGCAACGCCGCGUGAGUGAUGAAGGUCUUGGAUCGUAAAACUCUGUUAUUAGGGAAGAACAAAUGUGUAAGUAACUAUGCACGUCUUGACGGUACCUAAUCAGAAAGCCACGGCUAACUACGUG
This 496-nucleotide ribosomal RNA is filed under the name uncultured bacterium. Its description in RNAcentral is "partial 16S ribosomal RNA". It matches the Rfam family "Bacterial small subunit ribosomal RNA", at positions 28 to 507 of the family's 1533-position model. The record is from RNAcentral.